GAACCGGGAUGGAAGGUGUCGACGUAGGAGGCAGUUUCGCGUUUGGUCAUUCGGCCUCUCAUAUAAGGAUCGCAGGACAAGUAGAGAUUCUUGACGAGCACCCCUGUGGAACCUUGUGGCAGCUUCAGUGAGGUUGUAGAGGUCCUCAGCUCCAUGUCGGAUUCUUUGGGGAAGCCGGUGACAUAGUCUUUCAGUAUCACCUGCUUGUUGCUCAUCACUUGACACUCGCUCGCCAUGGCUACUUGCUCUUUAGAUCAAAUUCCCCCUCCAAUGCUUUGGUCAAACUAUAAACAACUUCGCCAAAACAAAAACAAAACUAUAAACAACUUCGCUUCGCUAAAGGUGGGCUGGGCGAAACCUGGAAGCAGUGAGCCUCUGCGGCCUUUACCGUAAUGAAUAAAAACUCUGAUAAAGCAUCAUGGAGUGGAGUAUGCCUCGAUCACUUUUGGAUGUAAAAUUAAGUUGUUUUGUUUUUAAUCUUCAGAUUUACAUCUAAUGGUGAUUGAUUAUACAUCAUUUUGUCAGUAACUGACUAGGUGAACAUGACUGACCGAGAAAAGACAAGUAUGGUGUCAUUUCAAACAUUGGCGAGUGCACAAGUGCAUUCAUAUCUUCCUCUCAAUAUUAGAUCGCACACCCAUUUUUCUCUUCAUACUUGAUAUUAAUGCAAGUACCAUCGUGAAAAUCAUACCACAUUUAUUAAGAUCACACAGCUCUCGUCAAUACACAACAGGCAAUAUCCAAAGCAGGCUAACCUAAUACCUGAUACAAGUUCUGAACAUACACCCAGGUGCACGUACUGCAGAUGCCCUUAAACAACUUAACAUAAAAACUAAACACUCGGACUUGAGAAGUGGGAUGGAUCUAGGCAGAUUAGUAAUCACUCCGUGGAACUACAACCACCUGCUUUCCCACAUUGCGGCCGGUUAGGAAUAGAAUUUCAUCAUUCCUGCGAGACAACAACAACUUGCUUUCCUACAUUUCGACCUGCAAAGAGUCCAACCAGAGCCGAUGGUGCGCUCUCGAGGCCUUCAACUACAUCUUCUACGUAUGUAACCUUCCCUUCUUUAAUGUGAGGAAUAACCAUUUCAAGAAACUUGCCAUACAGAUGAUAAUAACUAAAAACCGUAAAACCUUGCAUCCGGACCUCUUUGGUGACCAGAGACAUUAAGUUAUGUACACCUUCAGACUUCUCCAGGUUGUACUGUGAGAUCAUCCCACAAACUGCAAUUCGGCCGUGGGAUCUCAUGUUCAAUAGCACUGCAUCAAGCAUCUUUCCCCCAACAUUCUCAAAGUAAAUAUCGAUACCUUCAGGGAAGUACCUGUUGUUAAAGCAAAUGACACAUAUCAGAUUAGGACUAGUUGUAAGAAAACACCGACAAUGCGGGAAGUCCUUGUAGUAUAUCACUAUAUCUAUAGAGAACAAUGACCUUUUCAAAGCUACAUCCAAGUUAGAUUCUUCUUUAUAAUUGAAAGCCUCGUCAAACCCAAGAGUGUUCUUCAGCAAAUCAACCUUAAGUCACAUAAAUGAUACACAGUGUUAAAUAAAAGCAGGUAAACAAGUAAAUCGAAAAUAGUGAAACCUGUAAUAUGAAAACUAAUAUCGAAGUUGGCACUGAUAAUCAAAUAUCAAUGCAAUGACUGAAGGAUCACCUUUUCUUUACUUCCAGCACUUCCAACAACAUAGCAACCCAUGAGUUUGGCGAAUUGGCCGACUAGUUGACCUACUGCUCCAGAUGCUGCGGAAACAUAGACCGUCUCUCCUUUCUUAGGAGAGCAGAUCUCAUAAAGACCAACAAAAGCAGUAAUCCCAGGCAUACCUGCAUAACAGAAGGUAUACAGCAGAUGAGACUUGAGCAUCACGCCUGAAGCAGGCAGACAUUUUCCGCUAUAGUUAAUUCUUUGAUGCUGAAGCAAUUUCCUUAAUACUAGUAGCAGACGACACUAAGUUGAACACAGACAGGAAUGUGGUCACUAUAAGAUGUCUUAGGAUUGACAUAUAUACUUUGGCAUCAUACUAGAUCGAUGUUAGAGUUGUAGGCAGCUGGACAUUAAACUGAGCAGAUUUCACGUUGAAUAGAAAAGAAAAGUAGAAGAAGUUAACUAGUGCAUUCUGAAGCAAUUAUCCAAUACAUGCAACCAGUGACACAGUCAUACAAAGAUAUUCAAUGUUUAAAAGAUACAAGUGAAUUGAAGGCAUAUACCGAGAAUUCCAGUAUAGUAAGAGAGAGGAAUAUUGGGGUGUUGGUGAAUCUUAAAAAGAGACUGGGUUGCAGUGAUGAGACUGUACUCUUCCCAGCCAGUAUGACCCCAAACAAAGUCGCCCUGCUCAAACUUUGGAUCCCCAGAUUCCAAAACUUUAGCCACUCCAUAUCCAGUUAUAGGCUGCGCAUAUAAAUUAAAUAUGAAUAACAAGUACAACCAUGAACUGUUAAUUGAAAAAUAACAGAGAGAGACUACUGACGGAACCGGGAUGGAAGGUGUCGACGUAGGAGGCAGUGAAUUCGCGUUUGGUCAUUCGGCCUCUCAUGUAAGGAUCACAGGACAAGUAGAGAUUCUUGACGAGAACCCCGGUGGAACCUUGUGGCAGCUUGAGUGAAAUUGUAGAGGUCCUCAGCUCCAUGUCGGAUUCUUUAGGGAAGCCGGUGACAUAGUCUUUGAAUAUCACCUGCUUGUUGCUCAUCUCGCUCGCCAUUCCUACUUGCUUGCUGUUGAGAUCAAACUGCUCAAU
This 2731-nucleotide long non-coding RNA is filed under the name Fragaria vesca (wild strawberry). Its description in RNAcentral is "long non-coding RNA (FVES_LNC000019)". The record is from RNAcentral. Lineage: Eukaryota; Viridiplantae; Streptophyta; Magnoliopsida; Rosales; Rosaceae.